This 30-nucleotide non-coding RNA is filed under the name Mus musculus (house mouse). The record is from RNAcentral. Lineage: Eukaryota; Metazoa; Chordata; Mammalia; Rodentia; Muridae.
UCACAGUAGCCUGGUGACCGUUACCAACUC